UCAACGCAAUUGCGGUAGGAAGUACCCAACAUUAAAUAGAAUCAUGCACACGCACUUGCGUUAACGCGGCGUCGACACGCGUCUCAUUUGCGGCGAGAGUUACCGCAAAGUCACCGCAAUUCCCCACAGGAACGCAGCGUGCACGCGAGUAUUUUUUUGACAUUUCUCUAUUCUGUUUCUUUCCAACAAGAUUUCUAAUGGGAAAAUCUGUGAUGUGAAAUAAUGUGUCAGAGCGAAAUCAAAACAAACAAAAAUACUUCGCAAAUCAGUUCAUUUUGGUUUCGCAAAUUAAUUUGCAAAUUGCAACACUUUUCAAAUCUAGCUUCUUUGAAUAAUAGCAAUUGUAAAUAGUUCGGAGCGGUAAGUGUUUCUUUCGUUCCUGCGUUAGUACCAGUCGCGGUCAAAACACCUUUGGAAAGAACUGACAAGCAACCAUCCCAUGCUGGUGGAUAGAGUCAAAAUCAACGCAAGUAUGUGCAGGAUAGUGUUGUGAAUCAAUUGAUUUCCGAACAGACGGUGAUGUGGCAGUUUUGGGUUGAGUGACAAGCAGGCAAAAUUCAACCAACAAAGUGCAUUCCGCGGGACCCUGUAUAUACACCAAGGAAGGCGAUACCAGGUCCGCCAUGGGCAGAAUUAUUAAAUAUAGGAAUGUCAACGGAAGGAUGUCGUCAAAUAAUGUGAAUUGCAAUUGCAAGAAGAAACGAGAUCAGAUAAGCUACAGUAAGACUCUGGGACUAAUGCGUUUCUUCUAGUGUUGUGGGCAACGCUACUGCGAUCGGUCCGUGUUGCAGUGAAGUGAAAAUUCCAAUGAUACCUAAUAACGAUUCGUUUGGCAUUAAGAUAGCACUUCUUUGGAAGAACAACGACAAACGUAGCAACACGCCAGCAAUCGCUUGUGAUGCUUUCGGAGGAGGAUUUUGAGCACCUUAUUUGUAGGAGCGACUGCAGUAUCUGACCAAAAUGUUUAAUGACUUUUUAUUCCGGAACAAAUGAUUCGCCGAUAAAUGGAACUAAUAAAAAUCGUACCCCAAACGCAA
Armigeres subalbatus is the source of this 1037-nucleotide long non-coding RNA. RefSeq lists it as uncharacterized. The record is from RefSeq and is a predicted model, not a curated record. NCBI's taxonomy places the organism in Eukaryota, Metazoa, Arthropoda, Insecta, Diptera, Culicidae. The transcript is spliced from 2 exons.